CCAGUAGAUGAAGAAGAUCUGGUGGCAUAUAUAUUGAAUGGUUUAGAUGAUGAUUUUGAACCUGUUAUCUCUGCAUUGGUGGCAAGGGUUGAACCCAUCACCAUGACAGAAUUAUAUUCUCAGUUGCUGAAUUUUGAGA
Molecule: small nucleolar RNA, 139 nt
Organism: Phragmites australis (common reed)
Lineage: Eukaryota; Viridiplantae; Streptophyta; Magnoliopsida; Poales; Poaceae
Product: small nucleolar RNA Z247
Exons: 1
Source: RefSeq, a predicted model, not a curated record